Molecule: long non-coding RNA, 1679 nt
Organism: Lemur catta (Ring-tailed lemur)
Lineage: Eukaryota; Metazoa; Chordata; Mammalia; Primates; Lemuridae
Exons: 2
Source: RefSeq, a predicted model, not a curated record
ACGCGGUCCUCGCCCGAGUACCGAUGGAAGAUGUCCUCCAGCUCUGGGCGCUUCAGCAGCCGCCGCAGGAACUCCUCGAUCUCAGCCCCCUCCAGCCGCUCAUUGUUGGACCGGUCACACUCCUGGGGAGCAGGGGGAGACACUCAGAGCAGGGGACCCAUUGACAUGCCCUCGUCUAGCACAGCUGGGAAGGCGACAUCCCCCUUUUCACAGGUGGAGAAACUGAAAUCAAGACUCUGGCCCCUCCAGGUCCCACUGCUGGUAAAUUGCAGGACCGCGUCUUAAGGAAGGUCUCAGGUCAGUGUCUGUCCCUCUGUACCAUGGCCUGCCCCAGAACCAAGACGUGGGAGGAAAAACGGCAACCCUGGGCCACAAGACCCCCCCUACAUGGACACAUUACCAUCCUCACGCUCACAUACUCACACCCAGGGUAGAAGAGCGACACCUGAACGAGAACCCAUGGAGCAGUCCCUGUGGAGCUGUGGCCCAAGUGUCCGGGUCCCAUGGUCUUUGCUGUCUUUCAGGGUCAUAGGGUGGUCACAGUCAGCAUCUACGCAGGUGUCUGCCAUGUGCUCCACUGGGCCUAGAUGCAGGGCCCACCCCUGUGUGCCUCUGUGCCCCCAUGCAGGAGGUGUUCAUGGUCACGUGGGAGGUGCACGGAGGAGAGUGUGCGUGUAGUCUGUGUGCACAUGUGUGUCUGCAGGCUGACUCCCCCCCGUGCUACCGGGUGCAAAAGGUGCCCUGCAGACUUAGAGAAGCGAAAACAACUUGGCUGCUCACUUUGGAGGGGCGGGAAGGUGCCACUCUACUGCUGGUGAAAGAAGAAUUUCUGGAUGGCCAUUCCCCAAUUCCAUCCUGGCCCAGUGGCCUCAGGGGAGGGAAAAAAGGGCCAAGGCUUGUGAUUCUUUCAAGCCUGGAGCCCAAGAACUGGGCCAACACUUCAAAGUCCAGCUGUGGAUAGGACCGUGACAGGAGGACGGUGCUGGCCUCACCCUGCAGGCCAUCCCGGGACCGGCUGCUCCCAUCUCCCAGCCUCCCAAACCCAGGCCUUCACCUUGCAGUGAGCUUCGCCGCCCCUCGCAGGCCUCCCUUCCUCUCCUUACUGUAACCAGCCACCAUCACUGGGUUUGGCUUUAGGCUUUGGGGCCCAGGGUGGGGAUGGAGGUGGGUCCCAGUAAGAGGCCUUCCCUCUCCAGUUCUGAGCAGUGGUCCCUGCAGCCCUUCAGCCAGUGCCUGGGACUCAGGCCUCACUAAAGGUCACCCUUUCUGCCACCCUCCUCUACCAUGGCCUCCAGCCUUCAAGCCCAGAAUCUGCCACCAACAGCCUUUUCCCUUGGUGUGAAACUGUGGCCAUCAGGAAAGUAGUCUCACUAUCUAACCUAAAUCUUUCUUGCUGCAACCCAAGCACCUCUCUUCUGCUUUCCCAAAGACAUGGGAGGACAACAGAGGCCACCUUGGCUCCAGGGUCACAGGCCACAGACUCCAGGACCAGCCCUGCCUGGCUGAUCUCCAGGUGUCCUCUUUGUGCCCUGGUGGGGCCCUGCUGAAAGGAAGGUCUUCCAUGACAUUUGGUGAUCCCUCUUGCUAGGCCACUGCCACAACCCCUACGACCCCUCAGUCCACAUGCCCUCUCCAGCCACUGUCCACCUUCCUUAAUAAAAGCAAAUGCUCACAAAGCA